ACCUGGGUGGCUCAGUCGGUUGAGCGUCCGACUUCGGCUCAGGUCAUGAUCUCACAGUCUGUGAGUUCGAGCCCCGCCUCAGGCU
This 85-nucleotide transfer RNA is filed under the name Felis catus (domestic cat). It matches the Rfam family "tRNA". Rfam says of the family: Transfer RNA (tRNA) molecules are approximately 80 nucleotides in length. Their secondary structure includes four short double-helical elements and three loops (D, anti-codon, and T loops). Further hydrogen bonds mediate the characteristic L-shaped molecular structure. tRNAs have two regions of fundamental functional importance: the anti-codon, which is responsible for specific mRNA codon recognition, and the 3' end, to which the tRNAs corresponding amino acid is attached (by aminoacyl-tRNA synthetases). tRNAs cope with the degeneracy of the genetic code in two manners: having more than one tRNA (with a specific anti-codon) for a particular amino acid; and 'wobble' base-pairing, i.e. permitting non-standard base-pairing at the 3rd anti-codon position. The record is from Rfam by way of RNAcentral. Lineage: Eukaryota; Metazoa; Chordata; Mammalia; Carnivora; Felidae.